GACGAACGCUGGCGGCGUGCUUAACACAUGCAAGUCGAGCGGUAAGGCCCUUUCGGGGGUACACGAGCGGCGAACGGGUGAGUAACACGUGGGUGACCUGCCCUCAGCUCUGGGAUAAGCCUGGGAAACCGGGUCUAAUACUGGAUAUGACUCCAUGACGCAUGUUGUGGGGUGGAAAGCCUUGUGCGGCUGAGGAUGGGCCCGCGGCCUAUCAGCUUGUUGGUGGGGUGAUGGCCGUACCAAGGCGACGACGGGUAGCCGGCCUGAGAGGGCGACCGGCCACACUGGGACUGAGACACGGCCC
RNAcentral lists this ribosomal RNA (304 nucleotides) under uncultured bacterium. Its description in RNAcentral is "bacterial SSU rRNA". It matches the Rfam family "Bacterial small subunit ribosomal RNA", at positions 28 to 332 of the family's 1533-position model. The record is from RNAcentral.